CAGAGGGUGCAAGCGUUGUUCGGAAUUAUUGGGCGUAAAGCGCGUGUAGGCGGCAGUGCAAGUCGGGUGUGAAAGCCCUCGGCUCAACCGAGGAAGUGCGCCCGAAACUGCAUUGCUUGAGUACCGGAGAGGAUGGCGGAAUUCCCGAAGUAGAGGUGAAAUUCGUAGAUAUCGGGAGGAACACCGGUGGCGAAGGCGGCCAUCUGGACGGAUACUGACGCUGAGACGCGAAAGCGUGGGUAGCAAACAGGAUUAGAUACCCUGGUAGUCCACGCCGUAAACGAUGAGAACUAGGUGUUGUGGGUGUUGACCCCCGCGGUGCCGAAGCUAACGCAUUAAGUUCUCCGCCUGGGAAGUACGGCCGCAAGGCUA
Molecule: ribosomal RNA, 372 nt
Filed under: uncultured organism
Description: bacterial SSU rRNA
Rfam family: Bacterial small subunit ribosomal RNA
Source: RNAcentral